UGGGGAAUUUUGGACAAUGGGGGAAACCCUGAUCCAGCCAUCCCGCGUGUGCGAUGAAGGCCUUCGGGUUGUAAAGCACUUUUGGCAGGAAAGAAACGUCAUGGGUUAAUACCCCGUGAAACUGACGGUACCUGCAGAAUAAGCACCGGCUAACUACGUGCCAGCAGCCGCGGUAAUACGUAGGGUGCAAGCGUUAAUCGGAAUUACUGGGCGUAAAGCGUGCGCAGGCGGUUCGGAAAGAAAGAUGUGAAAUCCCAGAGCUCAACUUUGGAACUGCAUUUUUAACUACCGGGCUAGAGUGUGUCAGAGGGAGGUGGAAUUCCGCGUGUAUCAGUGGCAUGCGUAGAUAUGCGGAGGAACACCGAUGGCGAAGGCAGCCUCCUGGGAUAACACUGACGCUCAUGCACGAAAGCGUGGGGAGCAAACAGG
Molecule: ribosomal RNA, 429 nt
Filed under: Acidobacteriota bacterium
Lineage: Bacteria; Pseudomonadati; Acidobacteriota
Description: Acidobacteria bacterium partial 16S ribosomal RNA
Rfam family: Bacterial small subunit ribosomal RNA
Source: RNAcentral